This is a non-coding RNA of Acanthosepion pharaonis, 120 nucleotides long. Lineage: Eukaryota; Metazoa; Mollusca; Cephalopoda; Sepiida; Sepiidae. The record is from the annotation of a GenBank genome assembly.
UAUGGCCAUAUCACAUUGAAAUACCGGUUCUUGUAUGACCAUCUGAUCACCAAAGUUAAGCAAUGUCAAGCCUGGUCAGUAUUAAAUGGGUGACCACUUGGAAAUACCAGAUGCUGUAAG